GGAUGGCUCAGUGGUUAAGAGCACUGGCUGCUCUUCCAGAGGACCUGGGUUCAAUUCCCAGCAACCA
Neotoma lepida (desert woodrat) is the source of this 67-nucleotide transfer RNA. It matches the Rfam family "tRNA". Rfam says of the family: Transfer RNA (tRNA) molecules are approximately 80 nucleotides in length. Their secondary structure includes four short double-helical elements and three loops (D, anti-codon, and T loops). Lineage: Eukaryota; Metazoa; Chordata; Mammalia; Rodentia; Cricetidae. The record is from Rfam.